CGUAGGGUGCGAGCGUUGUCCGGAAUUAUUGGGCGUAAAGAGCUUGUAGGCGGUUUGUCGCGUCUGCUGUGAAAUCCGGGGCUCAACCCCGGACUUGCAGUGGGUACGGGCAGACUAGAGUGUGGUAGGGAGACUGGAAUUCCUGGUGUAGCGGUGAAAUGCGCAGAUAUCAGGAGGAACACCGAUGGCGAAGGCAGGUCUCUGGGCCAUUACUGACGCUGAGAAGCGAAAGCAUGGGGAGCGAACAGGAUU
RNAcentral lists this ribosomal RNA (252 nucleotides) under uncultured bacterium. RNAcentral describes it as "partial 16S ribosomal RNA". It matches the Rfam family "Bacterial small subunit ribosomal RNA", at positions 526 to 779 of the family's 1533-position model. The record is from RNAcentral.